RNAcentral lists this ribosomal RNA (468 nucleotides) under uncultured bacterium. RNAcentral describes it as "partial 16S ribosomal RNA". It matches the Rfam family "Bacterial small subunit ribosomal RNA", at positions 28 to 507 of the family's 1533-position model. The record is from RNAcentral.
GACGAACGCUGGCGGCGUUCUUAACACAUGCAAGUCGAACGGAAAGGCCCUGCUUUUGUUGGUUGCUCGAGUGGCGAACGGGUGAGUAACACGUGAGUAACCUGCCCUUGACUUUGGUAUAACUUCAGGCAACUGGGGCUAAUACCGGAUAGGAGCUCCUGCUGCAUGGUGGGGGUUGGAAAGUUUCGGCGGUUGGGGAUGGACUCGCGGCUUAUCAGCUUGUUGGUGGGGUAGUGGCUUACCAAGGCUUUGACGGGUAGCCGGCCUGAGAGGGUGACCGGCCACAUUGGGACUGAGAUACGGACCAGACUCCUACGGGAGGCAGCAGUGGGGAAUAUUGCACAAUGGGCGGAAGCCUGAUGCAGCAACGCCGCGUGCGGGAUGACGGCCUUCGGGUUGUAAACCGCUUUCGCCUGUGACGAAGCGUGAGUGACGGUAGUGGGUAAAGAAGCACCGGCUAACUAAGUG